GACGAACGCUGGCGGCGUGCUUAACACAUGCAAGUCGAACGGAAAGGCCCUGCUUUUGUGGGGUGCUCGAGUGGCGAACGGGUGAGUAACACGUGAGUAACCUGCCCUUGACUUUGGGAUAACUUCAGGAAACUGGGGCUAAUACCGGAUAGGAGCUCCUGCUGCAUGGUGGGGGUUGGAAAGUUUCGGCGGUUGGGGAUGGACUCGCGGCUUAUCAGCUUGUUGGUGGGGUAGUGGCUUACCAAGGCUUUGACGGGUAGCCGGCCUGAGAGGGUGACCGGCCACAUUGGGACUGGGAAACGGCCCAGACUCCUACGGGAGGCAGAAGGGGGGAAUAUUGCACAAUGGGCGGAAGCCUGAUGCAGCAACGCCGCGUGCGGGAUGACGGCCUUCGGGUUGGAAACCGCUUUCGCCUGGGACGAAGCGUGAGUGACGGUAAUGGGUAAAGAAGCACCGGCUAACUACGUG
Molecule: ribosomal RNA, 468 nt
Filed under: uncultured bacterium
Lineage: Bacteria
Description: partial 16S ribosomal RNA
Rfam family: Bacterial small subunit ribosomal RNA
Source: RNAcentral